Molecule: ribosomal RNA, 492 nt
Filed under: uncultured bacterium
Lineage: Bacteria
Description: partial 16S ribosomal RNA
Rfam family: Bacterial small subunit ribosomal RNA
Source: RNAcentral
AGUGAACGCUGGCGGUAGGCCUAACACAUGCAAGUCGAACGGCAGCACAGUAAGCGCUUGCUCUUACGGGUGGCGAGUGGCGGACGGGUGAGGAAUACAUCGGAAUCUACUUUUUCGUGGGGGAUAACGUAGGGAAACUUACGCUAAUACCGCAUACGACCUACGGGUGAAAGCAGGGGAUCUUCGGACCUUGCGCGAUUGAAUGAGCCGAUGUCGGAUUAGCUAGUUGGCGGGGUAAAGGCCCACCAAGGCGACGAUCCGUAGCUGGUCUGAGAGGAUGAUCAGCCACACUGGAACUGAGACACGGUCCAGACUCCUACGGGAGGCAGCAGUGGGGAAUAUUGGACAAUGGGCGCAAGCCUGAUCCAGCCAUACCGCGUGGGUGAAGAAGGCCUUCGGGUUGUAAAGCCCUGUUGUUGGGAAAGAAAAGCAGCAGGUUAAUACCCCGCUGUUCUGACGGUACCCAAAGAAUAAGCACCGGCUAACUUCGUG